RNAcentral lists this ribosomal RNA (484 nucleotides) under uncultured bacterium. Its description in RNAcentral is "partial 16S ribosomal RNA". It matches the Rfam family "Bacterial small subunit ribosomal RNA", at positions 30 to 507 of the family's 1533-position model. The record is from RNAcentral.
AUUGAACGCUGGCGGCAGGCCUAACACAUGCAAGUCGAGCGGAUGAAGGGAGCUUGCUCCUGGAUUCAGCGGCGGACGGGUGAGUAAUGCCUAGGAAUCUGCCUGGUAGUGGGGGAUAACGUCCGGAAGCGGGCGCUAAUACCGCAUACGUCCUGAGGGAGAAAGUGGGGGAUCUUCGGACCUCACGCUAUCAGAUGAGCCUAGGUCGGAUUAGCUAGUUGGUGGGGUAAAGGCCUACCAAGGCGACGAUCCGUAACUGGUCUGAGAGGAUGAUCAGUCACACUGGAACUGAGACACGGUCCAGACUCCUACGGGAGGCAGCAGUGGGGAAUAUUGGACAAUGGGCGAAGGCCUGAUCCAGCCAUGCCGCGUGUGUGAAGAAGGUCUUCGGAUUGUAAAGCACUUUAAGUUGGGAGGAAGGGCAGUAAGUUAAUACCUUGCUGUUUUGGCGUUACCAACAGAAUAAGCACCGGCUAACUUCGUG